UCCUUUUUUCCCCUUUUUCUUUUUCUUUUUCUCUUUUUCUCUCUUAAAGUUGGAGAACCCCUCUUAAAGUUGGAGUUGUGGGCGGAGCCCGACUCCCAUAGGAGUCCGGGCGGAGUCCUCCUGCAAUUAAAGUUAGGUGUGAAGUCUGGCUCCCGUAGGAGUCCGGACGGAUCUUACUGACGUUUGAAGUUGGCGAUGGAGCCCGGCUCCUGUAGGAGUCCGAGCGAAGUCCCCCUUGAGGUUGGAGUCGUGGGUAGAGCCC
Molecule: long non-coding RNA, 262 nt
Filed under: Elaeis guineensis (African oil palm)
Lineage: Eukaryota; Viridiplantae; Streptophyta; Magnoliopsida; Arecales; Arecaceae
Description: long non-coding RNA (EGUI_LNC051742)
Source: RNAcentral